CUUCUUCUCUCUUUCCCCCAUAACAACAUCCAGUUUCUCAUAUCUGCUGCCAGACCCACCUUGCCUCCAAGCCUCAUCCUCAGCACAUGCACGUGUGCAUUCAGCCUCCCUGCUCAGUAGCUAUCUCAAUUCAGCCAUGCUCCAAACCCGAAAACACGUUGGCAAGGCAAGCUUCCAGUCUCACUGGUCUGUGCCAUCCAAAGAGUCCUUGGAUAGGAACAGCAUGAAAGUCCCCUGGACAUGGAAGGAGAAAAGACACGAAUUGCAAACUGCCUCAUUCCUUAAAGUAUUUUCUGUGUCCUCUCAGGGGGUGACAUCACCCUGCUAACGGUGGCCUCCUCUCAUGCUUUCAGAGAAGUUUGAUUCCUUUUCAGGUAUCAUUUGCAAACCCGGUAAUCCAUCAUUGUUUGACACUGGUUAACAAUCAUUUGAUCAUUGGUUAACAAUCUCAGUUUAAAGCAACCCAUCUGGUUUUACCUUUAACGGAUUACGGGCAACACAUGUGAUCUCUUUUGCAGGCAGAGUUAUAACACUGGGAAAAAAACAUCUGGAUAAUUUUCAGCUCUCACAGCUGCUUGCAAAGCCGUGGACAUGACAGCAACAGUAUUAUAUCCUAGCACCUGGAUCAGAUGGGCCUCUAUUACCUUAGAACUGAAAGGCAUCAAAGCCCAAUUCAGAGCAGACCUAUUUGAAGGAAGACCUGCAGAACAACCUGAGAGCAAUAUAAGGCGCUCAGACGUUUUUUCUUUUCACUUCUUCUCUGAGUACUUUUACAUCAUGCCUACUUAUCACAACAGCCUACAGAAAAAGAAUAUGCUCUGCCAGCAUGCUUCACUGCUACAAGCGCACUGGAUUGUAACAUACGGUCCAAAUCAGCUGGUACCAGAAAAAAAGGGGCGCAGAGAAAAAGGCACAGAAAAUACCCACUGUGUUGUUGGGAAAAUCACUGCAAAUGAUUGUCUUGAGACUUGGAGGGGAAAAAAAGCCCACUACCACAACUAGCAGAUGAGCUUCAAACCCAUGGGAUCAUCAAGGCACAGGAUGGGGGAAAGUGCGUAGGGGCAGGGGAACAGCGUGAAGUCCUCUGCUCAAUGAAGAGCAGUCAGAUGUAAUAAAUAUCAGCAGCAGCUGCGCA
This 1135-nucleotide long non-coding RNA is filed under the name Numida meleagris (helmeted guineafowl). RNAcentral describes it as "lncRNA (ENSNMEG00000000900.1)". The record is from RNAcentral. Lineage: Eukaryota; Metazoa; Chordata; Aves; Galliformes; Numididae.